AUCUCCUGGGAACCUUGUUAAAUUGCAGAUUCUGAUUCAGCAGGUCUGGGGCGAGGCCUAAGAUUCUGCAUUUCUCACAAGCUCCCAGGAGAUGUUUA
Molecule: microRNA precursor, 98 nt
Filed under: Sus scrofa (pig)
Lineage: Eukaryota; Metazoa; Chordata; Mammalia; Artiodactyla; Suidae
Description: mir-544 microRNA precursor family
Rfam family: mir-544 microRNA precursor family
Source: Rfam by way of RNAcentral